This 674-nucleotide ribosomal RNA is filed under the name uncultured bacterium. RNAcentral's name for it is "bacterial SSU rRNA". It matches the Rfam family "Bacterial small subunit ribosomal RNA", at positions 106 to 788 of the family's 1533-position model. The record is from RNAcentral.
GUGAGUAACACGUAGGUAACCUGCCCUUAAGAUGGGGACAACCCCGAGAAAUCGGGGCUAAUACCGCAUAAGACCACGAACUGAGAUGUUAGUGGUAAAAGUCCCGAUGCAAAUCGGGACACUUAAGGAUGGGCCUGCGGCCUAUCAGGUAGUUGGUGAGGUAACGGCUCACCAAGCCUAAGACGGGUAGCCGGUCUGAGAGGACGGACGGCCACACUGGAACUGAGACACGGUCCAGACUCCUACGGGAGGCAGCAGUGGGGAAUUUUGCACAAUGGGCGAAAGCCUGAUGCAGCGACGCCGCGUGGAGGAUGAAGGCCUUCGGGUUGUAAACUCCUUUUGUAGGGGAAAAUAAUGAUGGUACCCUGCGAAUAAGCCACGGCUAACUCUGUGCCAGCAGCCGCGGUAAGACAGAGGUGGCAAGCGUUGUUCGGAAUUACUGGGCUUAAAGGGCGCGUAGGCGGUGAGAUAAGUCUGUGGUGAAAUCUUAGGGCUUAACCCUAAAAUUGCCAUGGAAACUGUUUUACUUGAGUCAGCGAGGGGAUGGUGGAAUUCCUGGUGUAGCAGUGAAAUGCGUAGAUAUCCGGAGGAAGGCCGGUGGCGAAGGCGGCCAUCUGGCGCUGAACUGACGCUGAGGCGCGAAAGCGUGGGUAGCAAACAGGAUUAGAUACCCU